UAAGCGGUUGAAGGUGUGUGGUAACGCAUGCUGGACGUAUCAGAAGUGCGAAUGCUGACAUGAGUAACGAUAAAGGGGGUGAAAAACCUCCUCGCCGGAAGACCAAGGGUUCCUGUCCAACGUUAAUCGGGGCAGGGUAAGUCGACCCCUAAGGCGAGGCCGAAAGGCGUAGUCGAUGGGAAACGGGUUAAUAUUCCCGUACUUCUUACAAUUGCGAUGGGGGGACGGAGAAGGCUAGGUGGGCCUGGCGACGGUUGUCCAGGUUCAAGUGCGUAGGCUUAAGAGUUAGGUAAAUCCGGCUCUUUUUAA
This 309-nucleotide ribosomal RNA is filed under the name Vibrio parahaemolyticus. RNAcentral's name for it is "partial 23S ribosomal RNA". It matches the Rfam family "Bacterial large subunit ribosomal RNA", at positions 1243 to 1555 of the family's 2925-position model. The record is from RNAcentral. Lineage: Bacteria; Pseudomonadati; Pseudomonadota; Gammaproteobacteria; Vibrionales; Vibrionaceae.